UCGAGCGGAGUGAUGGUGCUUGCACUAUCACUUAGCGGCGGACGGGUGAGUAAUGCUUAGGAAUCUGCCUAUUAGUGGGGGACAACAUCUCGAAAGGGAUGCUAAUACCGCAUACGUCCUACGGGAGAAAGCAGGGGAUCACUUGUGACCUUGCGCUAAUAGAUGAGCCUAAGUCGGAUUAGCUAGUUGGUGGGGUAAAGGCCUACCAAGGCGACGAUCUGUAGCGGGUCUGAGAGGAUGAUCCGCCACACUGGGACUGAGACACGGCCCAGACUCCUACGGGAGGCAGCAGUGGGGAAUAUUGGACAAUGGGGGGAACCCUGAUCCAGCCAUGCCGCGUGUGUGAAGAAGGCCUUAUGGUUGUAAAGCACUUUAAGCGAGGAGGAGGCUCUUUUGGUUAAUACCCAAGAUGAGUGGACGUUACUCGCAGAAUAAGCACCGGCUAACUCUGUGCCAGCAGCCGCGGUAAUACAGAGGGUGCAAGCGUUAAUCGGAUUUACUGGGCGUAAAGCGCGCGUAGGCGGCCAAUUAAGUCAAAUGUGAAAUCCCCGAGCUUAACUUGGGAAUUGCAUUCGAUACUGGUUGGCUAGAGUGUGGGAGAGGAUGGUAGAAUUCCAGGUGUAGCGGUGAAAUGCGUAGAGAUCUGGAGGAAUACMGAUGGCGAAGGCAGCCAUCUGGCCUAACACUGACGCUGAGGUGCGAAAGCAUGGG
This 711-nucleotide ribosomal RNA is filed under the name Acinetobacter sp. RNAcentral's name for it is "bacterial SSU rRNA". The record is from RNAcentral. Lineage: Bacteria; Pseudomonadati; Pseudomonadota; Gammaproteobacteria; Moraxellales; Moraxellaceae.